GACGAACGCUGGCGGCGUGCUUAACACAUGCGAGUCGAACGGAAAGGCCCCCAUCUUGGUGGGGGUGCUCGAGUGGCGAACGGGUGAGUAACACGUGGGUGAUCUGCCCUGUACUUCGGGAUAAGCUUGGGAAACUGGGUCUAAUACCGGAUAGGACCAUGGUUUAGUGUCUCAUGGUGGAAAGAUUAUUGUUUUGGUGCAGGAUGAGCUCGCGGCCUAUCAGCUUGUUGGUGGGGUAAUGGCCUACCAAGGCGUCGACGGGUAGCCGGCCUGAGAGGGUGGACGGCCACAUUGGGACUGAGAUACGGCCCAGACUCCUACGGGAGGCAGCAGUGGGGAAUAUUGCACAAUGGGCGCAAGCCUGAUGCAGCGACGCCGCGUGGGGGAUGACGGCCUUCGGGUUGUAAACUCCUUUCGUUAGGGACGAAGCCGCACUUUUUUUGGGUGUGGUGACGGUACCUUUGUUAAGAAGCACCGGCUAACUACGUG
Molecule: ribosomal RNA, 489 nt
Filed under: uncultured bacterium
Lineage: Bacteria
Description: partial 16S ribosomal RNA
Rfam family: Bacterial small subunit ribosomal RNA
Source: RNAcentral